UGUCAAAUCAUCAUGCCCCUUAUGACCUGGGCUACACACGUGCUACAAUGGCCGCCACAAAGAGGUACGAAGCCGCGAGGCGGAGUGGAUCUUAGAAAAGCGGUCUCAGUUCGGAUUGUGGGCUGCAACCCGCCCACAUGAAGUCGGAGUUGCUAGUAAUCGCGAAUCAGCAUGUCGCGGUGAAUACGUUCCCGGGCCUU
Molecule: ribosomal RNA, 200 nt
Filed under: uncultured prokaryote
Description: partial 16S ribosomal RNA
Rfam family: Bacterial small subunit ribosomal RNA
Source: RNAcentral